Molecule: ribosomal RNA, 264 nt
Filed under: uncultured archaeon
Lineage: Archaea
Description: partial 16S ribosomal RNA
Rfam family: Archaeal small subunit ribosomal RNA
Source: RNAcentral
ACACGACUACAUUAGAUACCCCGGUAGUCCUAGCCGUAAACGAUACUCGCUAGGUGUCGGCCACGGUGCGACCGUUGUCGGUGCCGUAGGGAAGCCGUGAAGCGAGCCACCUGGGAGUACGUCCGCAAGGAUGAAACUUAAAGGAAUUGGCGGGGGAGCACCGCAACGGGAGGAGCGUGCGGUUUAAUUGGAUUCAACACCGUAAAACUCACCAGGGAAGACUGUUACAUGAAGGCCGAGAUGAAGACUCUGCUAGAUUUUCAG